AGAGACAGCAGUAGCCGCGGUAAUACGAAGGGGGCUAGCGUUGUUCGGAAUUAUUGGGCGUAAAGGGCUCGCAGGCGGUUUCUUAAGUCUGAUGUGAAAGCCCCCGGCUCAACCGAGGAGGGUCAUUGGAAACUGGGAAACUUGAGUGCAGAAGAGGAGAGUGGAAUUCCACGUGUAGCGGUGAAAUGCGUAGAGAUGUGGAGGAACACCAGUGGCGAAGGCGACUCUCUGGUCUGUAACUGACGCUGAGGCUCGAAAGCGUGGGGAGCAAACAGGAUUAGAUACCCGUGUAGUCCCUGUCUCUUAUAC
This 309-nucleotide ribosomal RNA is filed under the name uncultured bacterium. RNAcentral describes it as "partial 16S ribosomal RNA". It matches the Rfam family "Bacterial small subunit ribosomal RNA", at positions 504 to 807 of the family's 1533-position model. The record is from RNAcentral.